RNAcentral lists this long non-coding RNA (472 nucleotides) under Equus caballus (horse). Its description in RNAcentral is "lncRNA (ENSECAG00000050997.1)". Lineage: Eukaryota; Metazoa; Chordata; Mammalia; Perissodactyla; Equidae. The record is from RNAcentral.
CCUGAAUCAGAUCAUGGGGCAGCUGGGAGGGGGAAUGUCAAGGACAUCGGGAAGGACAUUGAAGCCGGGGAGUUGAGUGGGUAGCCUCAACCAGGGAGGCCAGAUGGAGCAAAGGAGUCAUGGGAGGCUGAGAAGAAGACCCCGGAGAUCUGGAGAGCUCAUGCCACAUCUUGAAGGACCAGCCAGGAUGCACUCCGCUUCCUUCAAAUUACCCCGACCCCUGUGACUUGAGUUUGCCCCCACUGGCCUGCAGGUUUACAGAGGAGACAACCACAGCCCAAAGAGAUUAUCUGAGACGUUAUGACUCCAUGCUCCGCUCUCAGAGAAGUCAAAGCCCAUGAUUUUCGAGGAUGCCUUCCAUCUGUGGGGAACACAAGGAUCCCAUGCAGGAAACAAUGAGAGAACAGCACAACAUGCACAGUACCACCCCAGGAGGGCCUGCUGUGUUGGCUGGACCAGGAUUGGACACCUG